RNAcentral lists this ribosomal RNA (371 nucleotides) under uncultured organism. RNAcentral describes it as "bacterial SSU rRNA". It matches the Rfam family "Bacterial small subunit ribosomal RNA", at positions 526 to 896 of the family's 1533-position model. The record is from RNAcentral.
CAGAGGGUGCGAGCGUUAAUCGGAAUUACUGGGCGUAAAGCGUGCGUAGACGGUUAUUUAAGUCGGAUGUGAAAGCCCCGGGCUCAACCUGGGAAUUGCAUUCGAGACUGAAUAGCUAGGGUGCGGUAGAGGGAAGCGGAAUUUCCGGUGUAGCGGUGAAAUGCGUAGAUAUCGGAAGGAACAUCAGUGGCGAAAGCGGCUUCCUGGACCAGCACCGACGUUCAGGCACGAAAGCGUGGGGAGCAAACAGGAUUAGAUACCCUGGUAGUCCACGCCAUAAACGAUGAGGACUAGACGUUGGAGGGGUAAGCCUUUCAGUGUCGUAGCUAACGCGCUAAGUCCUCCGCCUGGGGAGUACGGCCGCAAGGUUG